This 666-nucleotide long non-coding RNA is filed under the name Sorghum bicolor (sorghum). Its description in RNAcentral is "long non-coding RNA (SBIC_LNC006326)". Lineage: Eukaryota; Viridiplantae; Streptophyta; Magnoliopsida; Poales; Poaceae. The record is from RNAcentral.
AGAUAACCGCCAGUACAAAGGCAUUAGUACUGGCAGUUGUCUUAGUCAACUGCCUGUAGAAAAUUUUUCUACAGGGCGGAUGCCCCCUGUAUAUAACCCUCGGUCCUCCGCCCGAAAUUUUUCUAAGUCUGGCACCCAGUUGAUUUGAAACCACGCCGUCAGGCUGUCCAAAUCUACGGUGAGCUUCUCUUCCUCGCACGUCUUUUGUCUUCCGCCGCCGCGUCGAGCACUUCAGUGAGCUCUCUCUCUUCCUCUCUCUCUCUCUGCGCGUGCGCGCUUGACGGCGGUGGCUAUGGUGUGCGGCGGUGGUGGCUAUGGUGUGCGCAUGCAGUGGUGGUGGCGGACCGCGAAGGGGCGGGCACAGUGGUGUGCACGGGCCCGGAAACUAUGGUGGCGGUGGCAGCGAGCGGUGGGUGUGGUGGCGAGCGGCGGGCGCGUGGCGGCGGGCGCGGCUAGAGGUUGGGGAUAACCCCGACAUAUGGAGCCCACCUGCCAGUGUGAGGGAAAGAAGCGGAGAGGGCACGGGCUUUAGUGAGAGGGCCGAAAAGAGUGGAAAAUAAUUAUAAAUAAAAUAAGAAUUAUUCCUUUUAUAUAUACAUGUUAUAAUGUUAUAAAAAACAGCAAAAAAUUAGAAAAAAUAAAAAUAAAAUCAGAUAUAUUAUUAUG